UAAUACGAAGGGGGCUAGCGUUGCUCGGAAUCACUGGGCGUAAAGCGCACGUAGGCGGAUUGUUAAGUCAGGGGUGAAAUCCUGGAGCUCAACUCCAGAACUGCCUUUGAUACUGGCGAUCUCGAGUCCGGGAGAGGUGAGUGGAACUGCGAGUGUAGAGGUGAAAUUCGUAGAUAUUCGCAAGAACACCAGUGGCGAAGGCGGCUCACUGGCUCGAUACUGACGCUGAGGUGCGAAAGCGUGGGGAGCAAACAGGA
This 257-nucleotide ribosomal RNA is filed under the name uncultured prokaryote. RNAcentral describes it as "partial 16S ribosomal RNA". It matches the Rfam family "Bacterial small subunit ribosomal RNA", at positions 521 to 777 of the family's 1533-position model. The record is from RNAcentral.